Molecule: ribosomal RNA, 497 nt
Filed under: uncultured bacterium
Lineage: Bacteria
Description: partial 16S ribosomal RNA
Rfam family: Bacterial small subunit ribosomal RNA
Source: RNAcentral
GACGAACGCUGGCGGCGUGCCUAAUACAUGCAAGUAGAACGCUGAAGAGAGGAGCUUACUCUUCUUGGAUGAGUUGCGAACGGGUGAGUAACGCGUAGGUAACCUGCCUUGUAGCGGGGGAUAACUAUUGGAAACGAUAGCUAAUACCGCAUAACAAUGGAUGACACAUGUCAUUUAUUUGAAAGGGGCAAUUGCUCCACUACAAGAUGGACCUGCGUUGUAUUAGCUAGUAGGUGAGGUAAUGGCUCACCUAGGCGACGAUACAUAGCCGACCUGAGAGGGUGAUCGGCCACACUGGGACUGAGACACGGCCCAGACUCCUACGGGAGGCAGCAGUAGGGAAUCUUCGGCAAUGGGGGCAACCCUGACCGAGCAACGCCGCGUGAGGGAAGAAGGUUUUCGGAUCGUAAAGCUCGGUUGUAAGUCAAGAACGGGUGUGAGAGUGGAAAGUUCACACUGUGACGGUAGCUUACCAGAAAGGGACGGCUAACUACGUG